Polyodon spathula (Mississippi paddlefish) is the source of this 551-nucleotide long non-coding RNA. RefSeq lists it as uncharacterized. Lineage: Eukaryota; Metazoa; Chordata; Actinopteri; Acipenseriformes; Polyodontidae. The record is from RefSeq and is a predicted model, not a curated record. The transcript has 3 exons.
UUGAUAUGUAUAAGGGCAAAAGGUAACAUAGACCAACCUCUUAGAUUAGAUUCUCAAAGCUUCUUAAAGGAAAAAUGCACCAAGCUGGCUUUUUUGCCCUUCUGUGGGUUUAGGGAGAAAUAGUUGGACCUCAUCAGGCUUCGACCACCCCAGCAACAAGCCUUGCUUUCAGUAGCCUGGCAACAGAAAUGGACGAGUCUGUCUCAACAGGAGCAUGAGUACCUCGGUGUGCUUGGAUAGAGGGUGCAGGCAGCGAGCUUCUGCUUAGUUACUUCCAGGCGAAAUCACAGACGUUUCUGUGUUUGGUUUCCCAGCCAGCGCUGCAGUAGGAUUUGAAGCACUUCGAGCAGGAUGACAUUGGAUAUAAAGUAUGGGAGAACUAAGAACGCCAACAAUCUUGGGAAAACUGAUAGUUGGUGACAACCUGAUGAUGUCGCCUACACCAUUGUGACAUCACCUCGCCACACGUCAUGAGCCCCUUUAUGACAUCAUCCUGGCUCCCCAGUUUAUAAGUGAGUGUUUCAGUAAGUAAGAAUCAGUGCACCUGGACA